Molecule: ribosomal RNA, 253 nt
Filed under: uncultured bacterium
Lineage: Bacteria
Description: partial 16S ribosomal RNA
Rfam family: Bacterial small subunit ribosomal RNA
Source: RNAcentral
UACGUAGGCAGCGAGCGUUGUUCGGAUUUAUUGGGCGUAAAGGGUGCGUAGGCGGUUUGGCAAGUCUUGUGUGAAAUCUUCGGGCUCAACCCGAAGCCUGCAUAAGAAACUGCCGGGCUUGAGUAUGGGAGAGGUGAGUGGAAUUUCCGGUGUAGCGGUGAAAUGCGUAGAUAUCGGAAGGAACACCUGUGGCGAAAGCGGCUCACUGGACCAUUACUGACGCUGAGGCACGAAAGCUAGGGGAGCAAACAGG